Molecule: ribosomal RNA, 468 nt
Filed under: uncultured bacterium
Lineage: Bacteria
Description: partial 16S ribosomal RNA
Rfam family: Bacterial small subunit ribosomal RNA
Source: RNAcentral
GACGAACGCUGGCGGCGUGCUUAACACAUGCAAGUCGAACGGAAAGGCCCUGCUUUUGUGGGGUGCUCGAGUGGCGAACGGGUGAGUAACACGUGAGUAACCUGCCCUUGACUUUGGGAUAACUUCAGUAAACUGGGGCUAAUACCGGAUAGGAGCUCCUGCUGCAUGGUGGGGGUUGGAAAGUUUCGGCGGUUGGGGAUGGACUCGCGGCUUAUCAGCUUGUUGGUGGGGUAGUGGCUUACCAAGGCAUUGACGGGUAGCCGGCCUGAGAGGGUGACCGGGCACAUUGGGACUGAGAUACGGCCCAGACUCAUACGGGAGGCAGCAGUGGGGAAUAUUGCACAAUGGGCGGAAGCCUGAUGCAGCAACGCCGCGUGCGGGAUGACGGCCUUCGGGUUGUAAACCGCUUUCGCCUGUGACGAAGCGUGAGUGACGGUAAUGGGUAAAGAAGCACCGGCUAACUACGUG